UACCUACGGGAGGCUGCAGUGGGGAAUCUUGGACAAUGGGCGAAAGCCUGAUCCAGCCAUGCCGCGUGAGUGAAGAAGGCCUUAGGGUUGUAAAGCUCUUUCGGCGGGGACGAUAAUGACGGUACCCGCAGAAGAAGCCCCGGCUAACUCCGUGCCAGCAGCCGCGGUAAUACGGAGGGGGCUAGCGUUGUUCGGAAUUACUGGGCGUAAAGCGCACGUAGGCGGACUGUUAAGUCGGGGGUGAAAUCCUGGGGCUCAACCUCAGAAUUGCCCUCGAUACUGGCAGCCUUGAGUACGGGAGAGGUGAGUGGAAUUCCCAGUGUAGAGGUGAAAUUCGUAGAUAUUGGGAAGAACACCAGUGGCGAAGGCGGCUCACUGGCCCGUAACUGACGCUGAGGUGCGAAAGCGUGGGGAGCAAACAGGAUUAGAUACCCGUGUAGUCCG
This 444-nucleotide ribosomal RNA is filed under the name uncultured Hyphomicrobiales bacterium. RNAcentral's name for it is "bacterial SSU rRNA". It matches the Rfam family "Bacterial small subunit ribosomal RNA", at positions 335 to 797 of the family's 1533-position model. Lineage: Bacteria; Pseudomonadati; Pseudomonadota; Alphaproteobacteria; Hyphomicrobiales. The record is from RNAcentral.